Molecule: ribosomal RNA, 413 nt
Filed under: Gordonia sp. RoP.13
Lineage: Bacteria; Bacillati; Actinomycetota; Actinomycetes; Mycobacteriales; Gordoniaceae
Description: bacterial SSU rRNA
Rfam family: Bacterial small subunit ribosomal RNA
Source: RNAcentral
UCAGCAGCCGCGGUAAUACGUAGGGUGCGAGCGUUGUCCGGAAUUACUGGGCGUAAAGAGCUCGUAGGCGGUUUGUCGCGUCGUCUGUGAAAUUCUGCAGCUUAACUGCAGGCGUGCAGGCGAUACGGGCAGACUUGAGUACUACAGGGGAGACUGGAAUUCCUGGUGUAGCGGUGAAAUGCGCAGAUAUCAGGAGGAACACCGGUGGCGAAGGCGGGUCUCUGGGUAGUAACUGACGCUGAGGAGCGAAAGCGUGGGUAGCGAACAGGAUUAGAUACCCUGGUAGUCCACGCCGUAAACGGUGGGUACUAGGUGUGGGGCUCAUUUCACGAGUUCCGUGCCGUAGCUAACGCAUUAAGUACCCCGCCUGGGGAGUACGGCCGCAAGGCUAAAACUCAAAGGAAAUUGACGGA